Molecule: ribosomal RNA, 253 nt
Filed under: uncultured bacterium
Lineage: Bacteria
Description: partial 16S ribosomal RNA
Rfam family: Bacterial small subunit ribosomal RNA
Source: RNAcentral
GACAGAGGGUGCAAACGUUGUUCGGAAUUACUGGGCGUAAAGCGCGUGUAGGCGGCUCUGCAAGUCGGGUGUGAAAUCCCACGGCUUAACCUGGGAACUGCAUUCGAGACUGCAUUGCUAGAGUAUGGGAGAGGGAAGUGGAAUUUCCGGUGUAGCGGUGAAAUGCGUAGAUAUCGGAAGGAACAUCAGUGGCGAAAGCGACUUCCUGGACCAAUACUGACGCUCAUGUGCGAAAGCGUGGGGAGCAAACAGG